UACCUUUAAGUAAACCGGAGCAUUAUUUUGAAAUAACAAAGUUUAGGGAGGGAAAGCAAGCCUGGCAGAGGCACCCAUUCCAUUCCCAGCUUGCUCCGUAGCUGGCGAUUGGAAGACACUCUGCGACAGUG
This 131-nucleotide small nucleolar RNA is filed under the name Pan troglodytes (chimpanzee). Lineage: Eukaryota; Metazoa; Chordata; Mammalia; Primates; Hominidae. The record is from RNAcentral.